RNAcentral lists this ribosomal RNA (253 nucleotides) under uncultured bacterium. RNAcentral describes it as "partial 16S ribosomal RNA". It matches the Rfam family "Bacterial small subunit ribosomal RNA", at positions 524 to 776 of the family's 1533-position model. The record is from RNAcentral.
UACAGAGGUCUCAAGCGUUGUUCGGAUUCAUUGGGCGUAAAGGGUGCGUAGGUGGCGCCGUAAGUCGGGUGUGAAAUUUCGGAGCUUAACUCCGAAACUGCAUUCGAUACUGCGGUGCUUGAGGACUGGAGAGGUGACUGGAAUUCAUGGUGUAGCAGUGAAAUGCGUAGAGAUCAUGAGGAAGACCAGUGGCGAAGGCGGGUCUCUGGGCCGACACUGACGCUGAGGAGCGAAAGCGUGGGGAGCGAACAGG